CCUACGGGUGGCUGCAGUGGGGAAUAUUGCGCAAUGGGCGCAACCCUGACCCAGCGACGCCGCGUGAAUGAAGAAGUAUUUCGUGUUGUAAACUUCUUUUGUCAGGGAAGAGUAUGAGACUGUACCUGACGAAUGACCCACGUCUAACUACGUGCCAGCAGCCGCGGUUAUGCGUAGGUGGCAAGCGUUUUCCGGAUUUACUGUGUGUAAAGGGCGUGUAGACGGCUUGACAAGUCAGGUGUGAAAUCCUUGGGCUGAACCGUAGAACUGCAUGUGAAACUGUAGGUCUUGAGUAUGGGAGAGGCAGAGGGAAUGCCUAGUGUAGCGGUGAAAUGCGUAGAUAUUAGGAGGAACACCAGUGGCGAAGGCGGUCUACUGGACAGUAACUGACGGUGAGGCGCGAAAGCGUGGGGAGCAAACAGGAUUAGAUACCCGUGUAGUC
RNAcentral lists this ribosomal RNA (442 nucleotides) under uncultured bacterium. RNAcentral's name for it is "partial 16S ribosomal RNA". It matches the Rfam family "Bacterial small subunit ribosomal RNA", at positions 338 to 795 of the family's 1533-position model. The record is from RNAcentral.